Long non-coding RNA from Nerophis lumbriciformis (worm pipefish), 910 nucleotides. RefSeq lists it as uncharacterized. The record is from RefSeq and is a predicted model, not a curated record. Lineage: Eukaryota; Metazoa; Chordata; Actinopteri; Syngnathiformes; Syngnathidae.
AAAAGGACAUAUCCUUCAGGUGCAGAAAAAAGGAAGAAGAAGAAAGUGGAAGAGGAGAAAAAAUGCCAUGAUAAAGGUAUGUUUGCAUGACUUGGUAAUAAAAAGUUUAUCAAAGAGAUUUGUAGCUGUAAUUAGCUUUAGUUAGGUGACGUUAGCUAGCUAGCGCGGUGCUAGCAAUAUGUUUUUAGCAUCAGGUUACUAGUGAGAUAUGUUGUUUGCACAAAUUGUUUGCAGCAGAGCACGGUAAUUUAUGUGAGUAAAAUAAACAUUAUUUUUUACAUCAACUCAUAAGUUAUGUGAAACUUCCCCAGGAGAAUGGUUAAAAUACUUUGGAGGCACAGAAUCAGCCCAGAGCCAGUUCACAUCCUCAGGCUCAACUGUGAGUGAUGAAUCAGGUCCAUCUCCAUCUUCUACAGUGCUCUCUCACACACCUCCAUCCUCUGUGCCCACUGUCCCCUCCAUGUCUAAAACCACAGCUGAUUUAUCUACAACUUCCACCACAACGUCCCCUUCACACCAUGGACCAUCAUCAGCUCCGCCAGUUGACCCAGCUGAGUGGCCUUCUUUCCUCUCAGAUUCAGACAGGACUGAGCAGGUGAUCAGAGGACCACUGUCUAUUAAGGAGAACUUUUCAUUCCCCAAACGGCAUGAUGGCCGAAGUUUUCAUUAUCAUUAUACCUACAGACAGCUAGUAAAUGGGGAAAAAGUCAAGCGUAGCUGGCUGACUUAUUCAAGAAGUAAAGAUGCAGUCUAUUGCUUUUGCUGCAAAUUAUUUUCCAAAAAGUCCUUAAAACUGGCAGCCGAGGGACAGCGGGAUUGGGUCAACAUAGGUGCACUGCUGAAACAGCAUGAAAACAGUGAAGAUCAUUGUAGCAACAUGGUGAAAUGGAAGGAAUUUGCCUUGCGUCUU